GGCGAUAUUUGGUGUUGUGGUUGCGAUAUCUCACAGCGAAUAUCGCGAUAUUUGGUGUUGUGGUUGCGAUAUCUCACAGCAAAUAUCGCGAUAUUUGGUGUUGUGGUUGCGAUAUCGCAGUCGAAUCGCGAUAUUUGGUGUUGUGGUUGUGAUAUCUCAUGGAAUAUCAAUUUUCCCAUGGAAUUCCCAGGAUUUUCCCAUGGAAUUCCCAGGGAUUUUCCCAUGGAAUUCCCGGGGAUUUUCCCAUGGAUUUUCCCAUGGAAUUCCCAGGAUUUUUCCAUGGAAUUCCCAGACUUUUCCAUGGAUUUUUCCCAUGGAAUUCCCGGCAUUUUCCCAGGGAUUUUCCCGGGAUUUGGGGUCUCACCUGCUCCCCCCAGGAGCCCCAGGGUGACAAAACCCCCCCGAAUUCCCCCCGUUUUUUAGGGAUUUGAACCCCCAGGAAUUCCGGGAUUUUCCCGGGAUUUUCCCAUGGAAUUCCCGGGAUUUUCCCAUGGGUUUUUCCCGGGAUUUGGGGUCUCACCUGCGGCGCUGGGGCCCCCCCAGGAGCCCCAGGGUGAAUCCCACGGCCACGCAGACGCCCAGGGCGGCCCCGAGCGGGGCCAGGCGGCGCCAGCCGGGGGGGGGGGCCCCCAUGGGAUCCCCGAAUUCCCGCUCCGGUCCCGGAAUUCCUGACACGGAUCCCAAAAAAAAUCCUGACACGGAUCCCAAAAAUUCCUGUCACGGAUCCCCGAAUUCCCGCUCCGGUCCCGGAAUUCCUGACACGGAUCCCAAAAAAUUCCUGUCACGGAUCCCAAAAAACCCUGACACAGAUCCCAAAAUUCCCGCUCCGAUCCCAAAAAUCCUGUCCCGAUCCCAAAAAAUUCCAGUCCCGAUCCCAAAUUCCCGUCCCGGAUCCCCAAAUCCCAAUUCCCAGAGCUCCCAAAUCCCAUUCCCGGUCCCAUUCCCGGUUUUUCCCCAUCCCAUUCCCGGUUUUUCGGUUUUUCCCGGUCCCAUUCCCGGUCCCAUUCCCGGUUUUUCCCCAUCCCAUUCCCGGUUUUUCCGGUUUUUCCCGGUCCCAUUCCCGGUCCCAUUCCCGGUCCCAUUCCCGGUUUUUCCCGGUUUUUCCCGGUUUUUCCCGGUUUUUCCCGGUUUUUCCCCUCUCACCGCGGCCUCGCUCAGCUCCGCCGCAUCCCGGGACGAUCCCAAAAAACUUCCCGGGAAUCUCCAGAAAACUUCCCGCGAACGCCGGACUUUCCCGCGAACGCCGGACUUUCCCGCGAACGCCGGACUUUCCCGGGAAUCCCGGAUUUUCCCGGGAACGCCGGAUUUUCCCGGGAACGCCGAGCUCUUCCCGCUUUUCCCGAUCCUUCUGUUCCCGGCCCCGCGGAACUUUUCCCCCUUUGUCCCCGGCCCCGCCCCGGGAAUGGGGAGGAGCGGCCGGGAGGGAACGGGGGAACUCGGGAUUUGGGAUUUGGGAAUUCGGGAAUUCGGGAAUUCGGGAAUUUGGGAUCGGGGAUUUGGGAUUUGGGAUCGGGAAUGGGGAGGAGCGGCCGGGAGGGAACGGGGGAACUCGGGAUUUGGGAUUUGGGAAUUCGGGAAUUCGGGAAUUCGGGAAUUUGGGAUCGGGAAUUGGGGAGGAGCGGCCGGGAGGGAACGGGGGAAUUCGGGAUUUGGGAAUUCGGGAUUUGGGAUUUGGGAUCGGGAAUUUGGGAUUUGGGAUCGGGAAUUCGGGAUUUGGGAUCGGGAAUGGGGAGGAGCGGCCGGGAGGGAAAAGGGAACGGGGAAUUCGGGAUUUGGGGAUUUGGGAAUUCGGGAUUUGGGAUCGGGAAUUUGGGAUUUGGGAUCGGGAAUUCGGGACUUGGGGAUUUGGGAUCGGGAAUUUCGGGAUUUGGGAUCGGGAAUUCGGGAAUUUGGGAUUUGGGACAGGGAACGGGGCAGAGCGGGAAUGGAUUCGGGAAUUCGGGAAUUUGGGAUUUGGGGAAUUUGGGAUCGGGAAGUGGGGCAGGGAAUGGGAUUUUAGGGCCAGGAACAGGAUCGGGACUGGGAUUUGGGAUCGGGAAUUUGGGAAUUCGGGAUUUGGGAUCGGGAAUUUUGGGAUCCAGCCCCCUCCGAACCCCGAAUUCCCGGCAGAAUUCCCAAAUUUCGGGGGAUUUUGGGAUCUCUCCCUACACGAGGAGGCCCCGCCCACUCCUCGCAUAACCACGCCCACUACUCGCAUAUCCCCGCCCCUUCAGAUCACGUGAUGUGGGACCUGUCCCCGCCCCCCGAGGCGCGGGAAAGUGCCGGCCGC
RNAcentral lists this long non-coding RNA (2269 nucleotides) under Cyanistes caeruleus (blue tit). RNAcentral's name for it is "lncRNA (ENSCCEG00000005924.1)". The record is from RNAcentral. Lineage: Eukaryota; Metazoa; Chordata; Aves; Passeriformes; Paridae.